UUCAUGGGGGUAUAAAUGUGUUUGAAAAUAAUCUGCAGUCGUUUUUGUUGCGAUCGUGGCAACAGUUUUAAUAUUUAAAAUGCAGUUGUAUUUUGUUCAUGGGUUGACUGUUCUAGGCAUUGCAAUUUGUUGCUAUGCUGCUACAAUGCAAAAACGAGAGGCAUGUGAGUAUGCUGGGUUGAAAUCUACACAUACUAUGUGUAUAGAGAAAAAUGUUGGUGAAGAAAUUCCUGUAGAUGAUGGCACUCAAAAAGAAAUAAUAGACAGACACAACACAUUAAGAGCUGGAGUUAAACCGUCUGCAGGAAGGAUGCCAGAAGUGAUUUGGGAUGAUGAGCUGGCUCUAAUAGCAUUAAAGUGGGCACAACAGUGCGUAUUCGGCCAUGAUGAAAAUGAUAACAGAAGGACGAAGGCUUAUCCUAGUGUUGAUAUUGGUCAAAAUUGUGCGUACGACACCAAGACUUGG
Long non-coding RNA from Patella vulgata (common limpet), 466 nucleotides. RefSeq lists it as uncharacterized. NCBI's taxonomy places the organism in Eukaryota, Metazoa, Mollusca, Gastropoda, Patellidae. The record is from RefSeq and is a predicted model, not a curated record. The transcript is spliced from 5 exons.